AUAGCGUAUAUUAAAGUUGUUGCAGUUAAAAAGCUCGUAGUUGGAUUUCAAGGAACAUCAAUGGGAAACCAUUGAAUUCCUAUCAGUCUUUGACUGUUACUGUGAGAAAAUUAGAGUGUUUCAAGCAGGCUGUUGCCCGAAUACAUUAGCAUGGAAUAACGAAUGUGUCUAGAAUCUUGGUUAAUUCUAGAUUACGAUUAAUAGGGACAGUUGGGGGCAUUAGUAUUUAAUUGUCAGAGGUGAAAUUCUUGGAUUUGUUAAAGACUAACGUAUG
Molecule: ribosomal RNA, 274 nt
Filed under: uncultured eukaryote
Lineage: Eukaryota
Description: partial 18S ribosomal RNA
Rfam family: Eukaryotic small subunit ribosomal RNA
Source: RNAcentral